RNAcentral lists this non-coding RNA (29 nucleotides) under Rattus norvegicus (Norway rat). The record is from RNAcentral. Lineage: Eukaryota; Metazoa; Chordata; Mammalia; Rodentia; Muridae.
UAAGGGAACAGUAACGGUUGAGCAUUUCU